GCCAAAAUAGUUUAAAGAAAACCUUGAAUUGUGGUUUCAAUAAUGCAGCUUAUUUGCUUUUGGCC
This 65-nucleotide transfer RNA is filed under the name Sipunculus nudus (marine worm). Its description in RNAcentral is "tRNA-His". Lineage: Eukaryota; Metazoa; Annelida; Sipuncula; Golfingiida; Sipunculidae. The record is from RNAcentral.